GACGAACGCUGGCGGCGUGCCUAAUACAUGCAAGUAGGACGCAGUUGCGAACGGGUGAGUAACGCGUCUGUAACUACCUGUUAGAGGGUGAUAACAAUUGGAAACGAUAGCUAAUACCGCAUACUAGUAGAUUGACCUGCGUGGUAUUAGCACGGAGGUGGGGUAAUGGCCUACCUAGGCAACGAUACAUAGCCGACGUGGGAGGGUGAGCUGACACGCUGGGAGUGAGACAAAGCCCAAAAUGCUUCGGGAGGUAGCAGUAGGGAAUAAUGGGAAAUGGGGGGAAGCAUGAACAGGGAACGGCGCGGUGUAGAAGAAGGGCAUAGGAAGUUAAAGCGGUGUUGUUAAGGAAGCGGUACUUAACCAGAAAGGGACGGCUAACUACGUGCCAGCAGCCGCGGUAAUAC
RNAcentral lists this ribosomal RNA (407 nucleotides) under uncultured bacterium. Its description in RNAcentral is "partial 16S ribosomal RNA". It matches the Rfam family "Bacterial small subunit ribosomal RNA", at positions 28 to 526 of the family's 1533-position model. The record is from RNAcentral.